Molecule: ribosomal RNA, 508 nt
Filed under: uncultured bacterium
Lineage: Bacteria
Description: partial 16S ribosomal RNA
Rfam family: Bacterial small subunit ribosomal RNA
Source: RNAcentral
GAUGAACGCUGGCUACAGGCUUAACACAUGCAAGUCGAGGGGAAACGAUAUUGGAAGCUUGCUUCCGAUAGGCGUCGACCGGCGCACGGGUGAGUAACGCGUAUCCAACCUGCCCACCACUUGGGGAUAACCUUGCGAAAGUAAGACUAAUACCCAAUGAUAUCUCUAGAAGACAUCUGAAGGAGAUUAAAGAUUUAUCGGCGAUGGAUGGGGAUGCGUCUGAUUAGCUUGUUGGCGGGGUAACGGCCCACCAAGGCGACGAUCAGUAGGGGUUCUGAGAGGAAGGUCCCCCACAUUGGAACUGAGACACGGUCCAAACUCCUACGGGAGGCAGCAGUGAGGAAUAUUGGUCAAUGGACGAGAGUCUGAACCAGCCAAGUAGCGUGCAGGAUGACGGCCCUAUGGGUUGUAAACUGCUUUUAUAAGGGAAUAAAGUGAGCCUCGUGAGGCUUUUUGCAUGUACCUUAUGAAUAAGGACCGGCUAAUUCCGUGCCAGCAGCCGCGGUAA